This 517-nucleotide non-coding RNA is filed under the name Pan troglodytes (chimpanzee). The record is from RNAcentral. Lineage: Eukaryota; Metazoa; Chordata; Mammalia; Primates; Hominidae.
UUUUCUAACUAGCAAUUUCGAGUGCAAGUGCCACAGUGUCAGCUAAAGAAACACAACUGCGGGUUUUCUGCAGAGCAAAAUGGUUCUGAAAUGUCACUGAAUAGCUCACAAAGGACGCCAAUCUACGACAACAGAGACAUAAGCAUAUAGGAGAAAGGGUCCACACAUCCUGCUUUCAAAGUGUGGAGAAAAGAGAGAGAAAGGGAGAGAAGAGUCAUGGACCCUACUUUAUGGUUGCCAUGGAUGCAAGGUCAGCCUUUCACACUUGGAUCUACCAGCAGAGUUCAGACAGGUCAACGUGUGACCGGCUCAGGCCCUGGGGUUAAAAGUUCAAGCAGCUAUGGAAAAACCAAUAUGUCCACACAGAGUAUGCUGUACAAUUUAUUUCAAUUUACAUCAAGCCAUGCAUAUAAAAUUUAGAUAAAUUCCAUUCAGAUCUGAUGUUGCCUGACACACAAUGUAUGCAAACAGAUGUCUGUGGGGCUUUUUCUGUGCUUUAGAAAACAACAUUAAAUUU